GUUACAUUUAAACAUCAAAAGUUAAUGAGUUGUAUGUUUUAAUAUUUCUUUUGAGUCAAUAAAGCAUUUAAACUAAAGUAGUAGAUGUUUUAAGAAGUUCUGUUGUUAUUUUUACUUGUUUAGAAAGUAUACCAUACCAUGUAUUUGCCACAGCAUUAUCACAUUUGGGAUUUAACUUUUAAGUUUAGUUUGUCCAUUAACAUUACAAAGUAUUUGUAGCGCACAUCAGUGCCACUUUGGACUUACCUGUGAAUUCUUCAGGAACUAUUUUCUGCAAUAACUUUCAGUCAGAAUUUUGUAUCUUUUACUCACUUCAGCCAAUUGUACCACCUCUUAUGCCAGUGAAUUGCUUUCUCAAAGUCUUAAAAACAUGUUACUUAGCUCAUGUUUAUCUUCGCAUCAGAAGAUUUUUGUGACUGUAUAUUUUAAGUAUGUUAGACUUUUCUACCUUAAUUGAUUUCUGUCACCUCACUAAUAAGUUGCAAUCUCUCUCACUUUGCUUGAACGUUGUAGCAAUAACUGUGUUUCACUGUACCAGACUGUUACUUCUACAUAGCUAAACAGAGCUCUGCAGAUCAAGACUAUACUUUUAGGGAUGUGAGUGCUUAAAAGGCCAGCUAAAUUCUAUUAUUGUAUUACUACUGCAACAUGAUGGUGUCAAACAGGGAAGGGAAAAUUAGUAGGGACUGUAUUUGAGCUUAAGCAACAGCAGUAUUAGGUCAGGUAUUUUUGAGUCUUGGCUUCAGGUUUUUAAUUGGCUAAUGCUUCUAUUCCAGCUACACUUCAGACUUUAAAACAUACAAUAGAGGAAAAUCUUAGGCAUAUAAAACAAAUGUGGCAUAUAAAACAAAAUUGGAGAAACUGUUUCUUUUUUUACAAAUAUAAGGUGUGUUGCUUCUUGAAACAAAAAUACUUUGUAGUCAUUACUAGCCAAAACUAUUAAAAUCUGUGUGUUGUUUUUUUCUGUUCCCUUUGCCUCCUGCUCUUAAAUUUUAAAUUUCAGCUUAAUGGCAUGCCCUCUGUUCAGACUGUGCUCCUUCUGAUGGGUUCUCUUCCUCCUUGUUCUGUUUGGGACCUUCCUUUGUUGAUGCCAUUUUGUAAUAUUUAAAAUGGGUACAGUAUUGUAUUGCAUGUUAUGGUAUGUCAUAGUUAUGAACUUUAUCUUUGCGUAAGCCUCUACCUCUUUUUCAUUUGUCUGUCUUUACAGUUGCAGUAAACAAAAAGCAUCACCUUAGUGGAUUUUAGUUAUUUAUCUUAGUUAUCUUUCUGCAUGACGCCCUGCACACACACAUUUGAUACUUUAUGCUUUUUCUGCAAGUACAGCUUCCCAAUGAAAAGGGCUUUGUUAGGAUAUAUACUGAUUUAUCUUCUGUUUCCACAUCAGUAUUUCUGCCACUCAGAUAUGCUUUCUUUUACUUUCAGAAUUUUUUCACUCUGUUCUUGGUAUAUUUAACAACAAUAAAAACAGUAGAGUCUCUUUUAAUUCUUUUAAGUGUUUGUUAUAAUGAAGAAAAUUGUCAAUAACUAGUAACUUUUAUUGGCUGCUCACUAAUUAAUUUUACAGUCUUGUUAUAUUUCUGUAAUGGUUUCACAAUCUGGGUUUUUCAGUACAGGAAUCUCUACAAGCAAGUAUGCCAUUUCCUGAUGCUUCAAAAGCACAGGAGUCUAUAGGAGGCAGAUCACCAGAAUUUCAAAAUAUUUCACCUGUUAUUAGACUACAAGGUAUACCAGACACUUCUGAAUUAGCAGGAACCUUACCUCAGAAAUACAGAAGGAAACUCAUGUCAGAUGAAGAGAUGGAAUAUAUUCAAGUAAGCUUCAUUUACUGCGUGGAGGUCCAGAAUAAGUAUGGAAGACGACUUGUUUGCCACUAUUGAAGAAUGAAAUAUACAAUCAUAAUACGCCUUUAUUGUGAAUAUUAUUAGCUUUAAUAAAACCCUAUAUGAAGGGUGAGAAAGUUGACACAACACACUAUAUUAAUUUGUGAUUGAGAAAGCCAUCAACAGAAAAUAUAACUAGUAUUUGAUGUCCACACCAUUAAAAUAUUUUUUUUUCUAAUUAGCCAUUCGCAAACAUGCCAAUAGAACUGAGUUGUUUUCAUUAAAAAAAAAAAGAAGAUGUCUCAUCAGGAAUAAUUUUAUGGGCAGGAAAGGGACACUGAAGUAUUCUCAAAGAUUAUUAAGAGUGGUUGUUCUUAGUAGUUAUACAACUGAAUAUUGGAUCUAAGGUUGGGGAAAAAAAAAAAACACUGUUUCAGAAGAGAGCUCUUUGGGUUCAAUUACAGUUAGAAGUCCACAAUAUAACUGGUCUCUAGGCUUAAUCUGCAUUAAUAUGCAUAGUCCAUAGCUGCAGCCUUUCACAUGGCAGACAGAAAUGAGCCUAUGCAUCUCAGGCUGGUAGUAGCCAACAGCCUUAGCAUCAGUCAUGCUGCUUUCAGCCAAGGGGCCGUGUAGUGAUGUAACCUGUGGUAUUGGAAAGCAGCUGCGCGUUCCCCUCCCGAGCUGUACCCCAGCCUCCUCCGGCACUGGAGAUAACAGCGCGGGUUGCUUCAUCAGCCCUCUUCCCCCUCGUGCUUCCUACGAGUUACCGGGAGUUAGGGACAGUGCCAGGCGGGUAUCUGUGGGCGGGGCGGUGAGGGGUGGUGCCGCUGGCGGUUGCCAAGGGCGGGGCCUGGCGAGGUGGGGGUGUGCACGUGCGUGUGUACCCCCGCACCUCUUCUCCCUCCUUCCUCUUUCCCUCCAUCCUCCCGUCCUAGCAGUGGUGGGUACGUGGGCGCGCGCCAAGCGCUACGAGAAAAUUGACUUCUUGGGGGAGGGGCAGGUUGGUGUAUGUAGAGCUCCUCAGCUCUCUCUGGUCCGUCAGGUGUGAGGGUCUCCUCUGAGGGGUCAGCUGGGCCCGGCGGAUCUGGUGACGUGUCUCUUGUGACUGGAGGGGCACUGGCGGAGGGGAGUCUUCCGGCCCUAGGGCUGCCUGUAGCAGCGCGCAUUCUGGCGGCUUCUGCUAGGCCCAUGGCAUGGCGUGGCCCGGGCCGACCCUGUUUCGCCUUCCACACGCAGUGGUGAAGCCCUGCUGAGAGGCGGGGUGGUGAUACUGCGGUUAUAGGGUGAGAGGGUCGGUCUCGUGCGAGGGAGGUGGUUGGGGAAGGCAGAUUGUUCCCCACCACUGUGCUGAACCAGAAUUUCAUGGGCUCUUCCUGAUUGAAGGUCCUGGUGCGGGCACCUCUCUAGCCCGAGGAGCUGGGUUCGGUGGUUCAGGGGCUGUGUUUGCUGUGCUAAUGUCCGAGCCUCUGACCAGGCUCUGCUGGCGUGCAACUUGCAUGCCCCUGUAGUCAUGGGAGCCUCUCUCCUUAGUUUGCUACUGUUUAUAAAGCAACCAAAUUGUUGCUAUUAAAAAGGUGUCAGAAUAUUUUCCCAUUGUGUGAUCAGGUGUAUAGUUGCUCUUGACCUGCCUAAUGAUUUUUUUGAGCUGGCUUAAUGGGUAAUAGGGCAAGAUUUUGUUUCUAGAGUUUUUUGUUUAAAUGAUUCAGUUAAGUUGUCUUUAAUAAUUUUUUUCAAGAAGAAAGACUAGCUUCAGUCCUACUACAUUUCUGAGUUUCUGAAGGAUUACCUGGUCUUGUAACUUGAAGUUUUGGUUAUUUGUUAAACAGAUGUAUGCUUACUUUUUGAAUCUUUUCUCCUGCCAUACCUUUUUGACAGAAUUUGACAAAAGUGAUCUUAGAUCUGCAAAUUAGCUGUUUGAAUAUGCGUUUAUAAAGUCUGUUUUCAUAAAGUGUUUUGCUUCAUACUAUAUGAAGAGAUUACAGAAAGUUUUUGUAUUAAAAAUAGAUUAUUAGUUGUGUAAUAAGUGAUGGUCAAAAUUGUUAAUGUUGAACAAAUCGAGUAGGAUUCAAUUGUAUUAUGCAUAUUGUUGUAAGCAGUAACUGCGCUUGUGCAAGUUUGAUUAUGUUUUGUAGAACCUUGUAGUAGUAGUUAAGCCAAUGCCUGGAUUGCCUGGAUGGUGCCACAGAUAACAGGACUCCCGGAUGGUGCCACAGAUAACAGAGCGCCCGGAUGGUGCAACAGAUAACAAAGUUCCAGAGAUGGAAAUUCCCAGCGUGUAAAUGAGCUUAUAACAUAUAUAAGCACACACGAAAAGUUGAGUGGUGUGCCUGUUGGCGGAACUGAGCUUCCCCCGGUCACCCAGCGCUGUUUUGCCUAAUUACCGCUUGCUAAAUAAAAUCGAUUGAUUGGCUCAAAAUCGAUUUAUUGGCUCUUAUUUAUAACAAAUUUUGGUGCCGUGACUCGGAUUAAGGAUCUCUGGGAGGGACUCCUAAACUUCAGGGAGGCGCCUCGUCCCGUUUUCAGACGGCCCUGGAGUGGACGGAGGAUCGCCCUGAAACCUUAACCUCCGAACCCUAAAUUUAGGUAAUUAGGCAAAAGAAUUGAACCCCGUAAACCUUUGUGCACGAAGAACCGGACGAAGACCCCGGGGAGGAUACCGCAGUCCGCACCGCGGAAAGAGGAUGGACACACGCUAGUCGAGUAAAAGGUCCUAUACUGCACACAGACUGGGAAGUCACUGGGAAACUGGAUGAGUUGAAGCUGACCUUCAAGAGGAAACAGACACGUGACGCAUAGCCCUGGAUACUAGGCUUUUUAUGGACAAUUGUAAGGAAUUACAUAAGUCGCACAUCGCAUGUCCUGUAUGUAAGCAAUGCAAUCCGUGGGUACGUUGCGUGUGUCACGGGUGCAGGAUACAGCAGUGAAAAAAGUUUCCUUAUGUUGAACGAUGGUGUAAUGAGUGUUGGGGAAAAACCUUAGAUACCAUUAGGAUAUUAAUAAUCACUGAUAAGUCCAGACAUAUGGGAAAUAACCAAGAGGAAGUGU
Long non-coding RNA from Columba livia (rock pigeon), 4865 nucleotides. RefSeq lists it as uncharacterized. The transcript has 3 exons. The record is from RefSeq and is a predicted model, not a curated record. Lineage: Eukaryota; Metazoa; Chordata; Aves; Columbiformes; Columbidae.